UUCAGCUUGAGGAUGAGACUCUUGCGGACUCUAAGCAUAAUGAUAGGAGGACAUCUUCUAUGGAUGCCGCUCCUCAGAUAUCCGUUUUUGAUACCGAUACAGAUGAUGUCAGUUGUAAAUGUACGUGGAAAAGUAUACUAAGGCAGAUACACAUAGUUUUGUUCUCCAAGAAGUUAAACCUACUUAUUCCGUGUGGUCCUUUAGCAAUGCUCGUUGAUAUGUUAACUGAUCAUCACGGAUGGAUCUUUUUUCUUAGCUUGUUAGGAAUCAUACCCCUUGCAGAGCGUUUAGGUUGGGCGACAGAGCAGCUGGCUUUCUAUACAGGACCAACAGUUGGAGGACUUCUAAAUGCAACUUUUGGCAACGCAACAGAGCUAAUAAUAUCAAUGUAUGCACUGAGAAGGGGCAUGAUCCGGGUGGUUCAACAGUCAUUAUUAGGAUCAAUACUGUCGAAUACGUUACUAGUGCUUGGAUGUGCAUUUUUUGCUGGUGGAAUUGCUCAUUCUACUAAGGACCAGCUUUUUGACAAGGGAAAUGCAGUGAUGAAUUCGGG
RNAcentral lists this unclassified non-coding RNA (553 nucleotides) under Hevea brasiliensis (rubber tree). Lineage: Eukaryota; Viridiplantae; Streptophyta; Magnoliopsida; Malpighiales; Euphorbiaceae. The record is from RNAcentral.